Molecule: ribosomal RNA, 2292 nt
Filed under: Enterococcus faecalis
Lineage: Bacteria; Bacillati; Bacillota; Bacilli; Lactobacillales; Enterococcaceae
Description: bacterial LSU rRNA
Rfam family: Bacterial large subunit ribosomal RNA
Source: RNAcentral
GUUGAUAAGGUUAAGUGAAUAAGGGCGCACGGUGGAUGCCUUGGCACUAGGAGCCGAUGAAGGACGGGACUAACACCGAUAUGCUUUGGGGAGCUGUAAGUAAGCUAUGAUCCAGAGAUUUCCGAAUGGGGGAACCCAAUAUCUUUUAUAGGAUAUUACUUUUCAGUGAAUACAUAGCUGAUUAGAGGUAGACGCAGAGAACUGAAACAUCUUAGUACCUGCAGGAAGAGAAAGAAAAUUCGAUUCCCUGAGUAGCGGCGAGCGAAACGGGAAGAGCCCAAACCAACAAGCUUGCUUGUUGGGGUUGUAGGACUCCAAUAUGGUAGUCUGUUAGUAUAGUUGAAGGAUUUGGAAAAUUCCGCUAAAGAGGGUGAAAGCCCCGUAGACGAAAUGCUAACAACACCUAGGAGGAUCCUGAGUACGGCGGAACACGAGAAAUUCCGUCGGAAUCCGCGGGGACCAUCCCGCAAGGCUAAAUACUCCCUAGUGACCGAUAGUGAACCAGUACCGUGAGGGAAAGGUGAAAAGCACCCCGGAAGGGGAGUGAAAUAGAUCCUGAAACCGUGUGCCUACAACAAGUCAAAGCUCGUUAAUGAGUGAUGGCGUGCCUUUUGUAGAAUGAACCGGCGAGUUACGAUUGCAUGCGAGGUUAAGUCGAAGAGACGGAGCCGCAGCGAAAGCGAGUCUGAAUAGGGCGAAUGAGUAUGUAGUCGUAGACCCGAAACCAUGUGAUCUACCCAUGUCCAGGUUGAAGGUGCGGUAAAACGCACUGGAGGACCGAACCCACGUACGUUGAAAAGUGCGGGGAUGAGGUGUGGGUAGCGGAGAAAUUCCAAACGAACUUGGAGAUAGCUGGUUCUCUCCGAAAUAGCUUUAGGGCUAGCCUCGGAAUUGAGAAUGAUGGAGGUAGAGCACUGUUUGGACUAGGGGCCCAUCUCGGGUUACCGAAUUCAGAUAAACUCCGAAUGCCAUUCAUUUAUAUCCGGGAGUCAGACUGCGAGUGAUAAGAUCCGUAGUCGAAAGGGAAACAGCCCAGACCACCAGCUAAGGUCCCAAAAUAUAUGUUAAGUGGAAAAGGAUGUGGGGUUGCACAGACAACUAGGAUGUUGGCUUAGAAGCAGCCACCAUUUAAAGAGUGCGUAAUAGCUCACUAGUCGAGUGACCCUGCGCCGAAAAUGUACCGGGGCUAAACAUAUUACCGAAGCUGUGGACUACACCAUUAGGUGUAGUGGUAGGAGAGCGUUCUAAGGGCGUUGAAGGUCGAUCGUGAGGACGGCUGGAGCGCUUAGAAGUGAGAAUGCCGGUAUGAGUAGCGAAAGACAGGUGAGAAUCCUGUCCACCGUAUGACUAAGGUUUCCUGGGGAAGGCUCGUCCGCCCAGGGUUAGUCGGGACCUAAGCCGAGGCCGAUAGGCGUAGGCGAUGGACAACAGGUUGAUAUUCCUGUACCAGUUGUUUUUGUUUGAGCAAUGGAGGGACGCAGUAGGCUAAGGAAUGCAUGCGAUUGGAAGUGCAUGUCCAAGCAAUGAGUCUUGAGUAGAGUUAAAUGCUUUACUCUCUAAGGACAAGUUGUGACGGGGAGCGAAAUAAUAGUAGCGAAGUUCCUGAUGUCACACUGCCAAGAAAAGCUUCUAGUGAGAAAACAACUGCCCGUACCGUAAACCGACACAGGUAGUCGAGGAGAGUAUCCUAAGGUGAGCGAGCGAACUCUCGUUAAGGAACUCGGCAAAAUGACCCCGUAACUUCGGGAGAAGGGGUGCUGACUUCGGUCAGCCGCAGUGAAUAGGCCCAAGCGACUGUUUAUCAAAAACACAGGUCUCUGCAAAAUCGUAAGAUGAAGUAUAGGGGCUGACGCCUGCCCGGUGCUGGAAGGUUAAGAGGAUGGGUUAGCUUCGGCGAAGCUCAGAAUUGAAGCCCCAGUAAACGGCGGCCGUAACUAUAACGGUCCUAAGGUAGCGAAAUUCCUUGUCGGGUAAGUUCCGACCCGCACGAAAGGCGUAACGAUUUGGGCACUGUCUCAACGAGAGACUCGGUGAAAUUUUAGUACCUGUGAAGAUGCAGGUUACCCGCGACAGGACGGAAAGACCCCAUGGAGCUUUACUGUAGUUUGAUAUUGAGUGUUUGUACCACAUGUACAGGAUAGGUAGGAGCCGAUGAGACCGGAACGCUAGUUUCGGAGGAGGCGCUGGUGGGAUACUACCCUUGUGUUAUGAACCCUCUAACCCGCACCACUAAUCGUGGUGGGAGACAGUGUCAGAUGGGCAGUUUGACUGGGGCGGUCGCCUCCUAAAAGG